Long non-coding RNA from Ipomoea triloba (trilobed morning glory), 491 nucleotides. RefSeq lists it as uncharacterized. NCBI's taxonomy places the organism in Eukaryota, Viridiplantae, Streptophyta, Magnoliopsida, Solanales, Convolvulaceae. The transcript has 3 exons. The record is from RefSeq and is a predicted model, not a curated record.
CCCACCACCACCCCCUCUUCUUCAUUUUCUCACGCCAUUUUCAUCCCCUUAGGCCAUAGAAAUUCAUCUUCUUCAUACUUCAAGAGAAAUAAGUAAAUUUCCAUCUUUUAGGACCCUCCAAGCUAGGAUUUGAUGAUCAAGGUGGAGAUGGCAUGCUAGGGUGAUCAUUGGAAGGUUUUUGUGAUUUUACCUAGCUACAAGAGGUAUGGAGUAGGACCAAUAUCGCGAGCGCGUUAGUAUGCAUUAGUCCUAUCCUCUCUUUGGGCUAGUUAUGUUUUCCUUUAUUAGACGUUUGAGGCCUGUGAGCCCUUGCUAGACUUCACUAUAUAAUAAUUUAGCAUUAUGGAUGAUUAGUUUCUGUUUUUAUGGAUUUAGACCUUGCCUUAGCAUUUAGGCCUAUAUGGCCCUAGAUGUGGCAUAACACCCCAUUCUAUUGAACUUUGCUUCCGCUAUCUUUUGUUAAAGUAUCAUGAGUUAAAUCCUGUUAUUUC